Long non-coding RNA from Camellia sinensis, 469 nucleotides. RefSeq lists it as uncharacterized. NCBI's taxonomy places the organism in Eukaryota, Viridiplantae, Streptophyta, Magnoliopsida, Ericales, Theaceae. The record is from RefSeq and is a predicted model, not a curated record.
CCCGUGUAUACUAGGGUUUAUACACUUCGCGUAGCACAUCUGCUGUGAAGUCUCUGCAGUCGCUUCGGAUCGAAGACAAGAGAGAGGCCCUUGAAGAAGGAGACCCAAAAAGAGGGUUCGUGACUCACUGUACUGUACCACCACCAUGAGAGCUAAGUGGAAGAAGAAACGUAUGAGGAGGUUGAAGAGAAAGCGUCGAAAGAUGAGGCAGCGAUCGAAGUAACAAUCGAUGAUGGACCUUCGCAAUUACGUCUAUGGCUCUCUCUGUGUCGUCAAUUUUCUUUUCGUUAUUCAGGGUUUUUGGCAUUUUGACAGAUAUAUUUGCACUUGAUGUAUGAAUUUAUAGUUCAAAUUUUACGACUUUGGCUUUAUUGAAUAUCAAGCUUUAUUGAUACCACUUGGGUUUGGUAUUAUUGUUUUGGGUUCUUUGUUAUAUGAUCAAUUGAAUGCCUUUCUCCAUUGCUUUUCA